AUUGAACGCUGGCGGCAGGCCUAACACAUGCAAGUCGAGCGGAUGAAGGGAGCUUGCUCCUGGAUUCAGCGGCGGACGGGUGAGUAAUGCCUAGGAAUCUGCCUGGUAGUGGGGGAUAACGUCCGGAAACGGGCGCUAAUAUCGCAUACGUCCUGAGGGUGAACGUGGGGGAUCUUCGGACCUCACGCUAUUAGCUGAGCCUAGGUCGGAUUAGCUAGUUGGUGGGGUAAAGGCCUACCAAGGCGACGAUCCGUAACUGGUCUGAGAGGAUGACCAGUCACACUGGAACUGAGACACGGUCCAGACUCCUACGGGAGGCAGCAGUGGGGAAUAUUCGACAAUGGGCGAAAGCCUGAUCCAGCCAUGCCGCGUGUGUGAAGAAGGUCUUCGGAUUGUAAAGCACUGUAAGUUGGGAAGAAGGGCAGUAAGUUAAUACCUGGCUGUUUUGACGUUACCAACAGAAUAAGCACCGGCUAACUUCGUG
Molecule: ribosomal RNA, 484 nt
Filed under: uncultured bacterium
Lineage: Bacteria
Description: partial 16S ribosomal RNA
Rfam family: Bacterial small subunit ribosomal RNA
Source: RNAcentral